UCCGAUAUGGUCUAGUGGCUAGGAUUUGCCGCUCUCAUCAAGAGUCAGUACGCUUCCAUUGGCGCCGGCAAGGCCCGGGUUCGAUUCCCGGUGUCGGAA
Molecule: non-coding RNA, 99 nt
Organism: Bipolaris maydis ATCC 48331
Lineage: Eukaryota; Fungi; Ascomycota; Dothideomycetes; Pleosporales; Pleosporaceae
Source: the annotation of a RefSeq genome assembly